Long non-coding RNA from Oncorhynchus tshawytscha (Chinook salmon), 1273 nucleotides. NCBI's taxonomy places the organism in Eukaryota, Metazoa, Chordata, Actinopteri, Salmoniformes, Salmonidae. The record is from Ensembl.
GUAAUGAUAAAUAAUGCUGUAAUGAUAAAUAAUGCUGUAAUGAUAAAUAAUGCUGUAAUGAUAAAUAAUGCUGUAAUGAUAAAUAAUAUGUAAUGAUAAAUAAUGCUGUAAUGAUAAAUAUGUUAAUGAUAAAUCAUGCUGUAAUGAUAAAUAAUAUGGUAAUGAGAAUGAUACAUAAUGCUGUAAUAACCUACAUUUUGUUAACAGUAUUGUGAUAGGCUCAUGUUUUACUGGCACUGGCUUACCCACACUAUUCCUGUACCAGACCUCUUUACUUUCUCACCUGGUUAUUGUUUUCAAAUGGGUAUUAUUGGCACUGGGAGAUAAACGUAACACUAAAUAUACACAUUUCCAGACAUUAAUGCACAAACAGUAUUUUUGGCCAUUUAUGCCUCACUUUACUACCAGCAGUAGAGAACAAUAGACUUGCUUUCUAAUUUGAAGUGCAUGAUGGCGUUGACACUCUCGGGCCCGUCUACUGUGCAUUCUAAUUUAAAUUCCAGCGUGUGAAAGCUCUUAAAAAUACAAUUUUCGAUUGAUUUGGUGGUUAAACAAGCUUCACUUGAAAAUCAAGAGAAAAAGCGGCAAUAGUAUUGUAAUGAAACAACAGGGAGCAGGUCUCGAACCCUCGACCUUCCAGCCCAAAGUCGACUGAGUCGAUAUCCGCUCUAAUAAACCAAGGGUCGUUACAGUAUUGUUUGUCAAUUUUGAGACGCUAUAGCCAAUAGGCCUACACUUCCUCCUCAACAAAAUCAGAAUUUCUAAGGUAACUGAAGAAUUUAGUCACGCCAUUUUACAUGUAAGAUGUUUGGUGCAGUAUUUUUCAAUGACAAAAAAUUUAAAACGACUCCUCUCUCGUUGAAUGACCCAACUGUUGAUCAAUCACCCACGAAGGGGCGUAGACUACCAAUCUCGUUUUGGCUCCAGAAAGAAAUGUUGUGUGCCCGAACAGCGAGAGGCAUUAACUCUGGCCUAAUGACAAUCACCAACUAGCUAGCUACAUUCUUUAUAAACCACUAGGGUAUAUCAGCUACAACUCUCCUCAUGUUCCUGAGCCAACAGGAGGCAGGUACUGUGAGACUAGCUACAUUCUUUAUAAACCACUAGGGUUGAGGCCUAUCAGCUACAACUCUCAUGUUCCUGAGCCAACAGGAGGCAGGUACUGUGAGACUAGCUACAUUCUUUAUAAACCACUAGGGUAUAUCAGCUACAACUCUCCUCAUGUUCCUGAGCCAACAGGAGGCAGGUACUGUGAGACUAGCUACAUUCUUUA